GGGCCUAUAGCUCAACGGUCAGAGCAGGCGGCUCAUAACCGUCUGGUUCCUGGUUCAAAUCCAGGUGGGCCCA
Molecule: transfer RNA, 73 nt
Filed under: Myxococcales bacterium
Lineage: Bacteria; Pseudomonadati; Myxococcota; Myxococcia; Myxococcales
Description: tRNA-Ile
Rfam family: tRNA
About the family: Transfer RNA (tRNA) molecules are approximately 80 nucleotides in length.
Source: RNAcentral